This 307-nucleotide ribosomal RNA is filed under the name uncultured Bacteroidota bacterium. RNAcentral describes it as "bacterial SSU rRNA". It matches the Rfam family "Bacterial small subunit ribosomal RNA", at positions 153 to 462 of the family's 1533-position model. The record is from RNAcentral. Lineage: Bacteria; Pseudomonadati; Bacteroidota.
GAAAUUUGGAUUAAUACCCUAUAGUAUCUUUUUAAGGCAUCUUAUUAAGAUUAAAGGUUACGGUAUGAGAUGAGUAUGCGUUCUAUUAGCUAGUAGGUGUGGUAACGGCACACCUAGGCUACGAUAGAUAGGGGCCCUGAGAGGGGGAUCCCCCACACUGGUACUGAGACAGGACCAGACUCCUACGGGAGGCAGCAGUGAGGAAUAUUGGACAAUGGAGGCAACUCUGAUCCAGCCAUGCCGCGUGCAGGAAGACUGCCCUAUGGGUUGUAAACUGCUUUUAUACAGGAAGAAACAGCUUUACGUG